UAUCAACAAUGCAUGUGUCCCCACAACACAAAGCCCUCUCUCUCUCCCUCCUCGUCGACAUUCUUUUGUCUCGAAGCUUAUCCUCUGCGUCUGGCACACCUCCUCAUUUACUGGCUCAUGAUGGUUUUGUCAGGCGGAGAGUUCGACAUUACAUUGGAAGUACGAAGAGAUGGGAGAUGAAAUGGGGCUGCUUGGUACAAUGGUGGGAUCUCUGGCUGACAAAUGGUGGGAAAUGAAAUCAGUGUUCAUUGUGAAGUUUUUGCAGAGGGGGCUUUGAUCAACAAUGGCUGACACCGUCUCUUUCUUGCGAGUAUCCUGGGAAGGCGGUUAAUGGUGAUAGCUGACGAACCAAGCACCUCGCUCUUCUUCCACCCAUUCGCCAUAUUCUCGACCCUCUCAUCUUACGAUAAAUCUUAAAGGUUCUUGCAGAGUCUGGUGCUGGGUCACAGCUCAAAGGAAAGGGGCUCGGAAGACGAGCCACUUCACAUUUGAUGAAGUGAUGGUGGCAAAAGGCAUUUUGCGGCUCUGUUAACUCGUUUACGGAAUCAAAUCUUGAAAAUGUGGGCAUAUUAAGAUCGGAUAAAGCAUCUGUUAACUAUCCAGUCACUGGACAGCAGCCAUUGACGAUGAUCCAGCAAGCUUUUGUUCUCUCCCGAAUGAUCAGAAGACUGGACAACCUUUGACGAUAACCCCUUUCGCGGUGGGACAAGACGCAAAGGGACACAUGUCACGUUCGCC
Tarenaya hassleriana is the source of this 738-nucleotide long non-coding RNA. RefSeq lists it as uncharacterized. Lineage: Eukaryota; Viridiplantae; Streptophyta; Magnoliopsida; Brassicales; Cleomaceae. The transcript is spliced from 3 exons. The record is from RefSeq and is a predicted model, not a curated record.